Molecule: long non-coding RNA, 1004 nt
Organism: Homo sapiens (human)
Lineage: Eukaryota; Metazoa; Chordata; Mammalia; Primates; Hominidae
Source: Ensembl
ACGGCCACGCCCACUCCCCUCCACUGAGCAUUUAUGGCCGCCACUGCCUCCUUCCCACUCCCCCUCAGCCCCAACCCCCACCCCGGACCUGGCUGCCCUUUGAGACCCUGUCCCUGCCUACCUAAUCCACACUGACCCCAUUCGCCCCUGAACACCCUUCGUCCUCCUCCAAAACCCUCCUACUCUGUCUGGUCCCCAGUUGUACGACAUCUUCCCGAGCCUCCUGAACUGGGUGCCUGGGCCGCACCAACGCAUCUUCCAGAACUUCAAGUGCCUGAGAGACCUCAUCGCCCACAGCGUCCACGACCACCAGGCCUCGCUAGACCCCAGAUCUCCCCGGGACUUCAUCCACUGCUUCCUCACCAAGAUGGCAGAGAAGAAGGAGGACCCGCUGAGCCACUUCCACAUGGAUACCCUGCUGAUGACCACACAUAACCUGCUCUUUGGCGGCACCGAGACGGUGGGCACCACGCUGCGCCACGCCUUCCUGGCAUUCAUGAAGUACCCGAAAGUUCAAGGGCACCGUCUGUGCCUGGGAGAGUCGCUGGCGCGCAUGGAGCUCUUUCUGUACCUCACCGCCAUCCUGCAGAGCUUUUCGCUGCAGCCGCUGGGUGCGCCCGAGGACAUCGACCUGACCCCGCUCAGCUCAGGUCUUGGCAAUUUGCCGCGGCCUUUCCAGCUGUGCCUGCACCCGCGCUAACGCCCCGGCCCUUCCAGAUUCGCCUGUGAGCGAUGAGGCCCACCCAUGUGGGUUGCUACGUCCCCUUCUUGGUCCACGGUCUGCCUCCAUCCCUCUGGCAGUCACGCUGUCUUCCCUGCAUGCUGUGCCUGCCGCGUGCCCUUCCCCCAUCCCUCCAAUCUGUACCCCGUCUGCAGGGCAGAGGCAGAUGUGGCAUGUCUUUUUGUACCCACAGAGCUUGUUCUAUGGCACGCCCUUUUCUGGGCUUUUUGUAUCAUUUCUUAGUACAUUGUAAUAGAUUCAAACCAGUCUUGGCUGAAUUAAA